UGUCCUCGGCUUUUUUCAUGAUAUACAUCCCAGUAAGUCGGUCUUAAGGACAAUCCCCAAGCAAGUAUCCUUGGGACUUAUCCUCUAUGAUAAUAUCAUACUUUUGGUUCUUACACCACUGUUCAUUUCGGUUCUUACACUGUUUUCACCCAGUCACUCCGGUUCUUACACCGUUGUCACCUAGUCACUCUGGUUCUUAACCAUUUGUUUUUUACACCGGUUCUUA
Molecule: long non-coding RNA, 226 nt
Filed under: Lathyrus oleraceus (garden pea)
Lineage: Eukaryota; Viridiplantae; Streptophyta; Magnoliopsida; Fabales; Fabaceae
Description: Pisum sativum (pea) long non-coding RNA (PSAT_LNC015259)
Source: RNAcentral